RNAcentral lists this ribosomal RNA (653 nucleotides) under uncultured fungus. Its description in RNAcentral is "eukaryotic LSU rRNA". The stretch from base 255 to 409 matches the Rfam family "5.8S ribosomal RNA". The record is from RNAcentral. Lineage: Eukaryota; Fungi.
CUUGGUCAUUUAGAGGAAGUAAANGUCGUAACAAGGUUUCUGUAGGUGAACCUGCGGAAGGAUCAUUAUCGAAUCGUAGGUGAGGGUUGUUGCUGGCCUCUCGGGGCAUGUGCACGCCCGAGCCCUUGAAUCCCAAACACCACAUGUGAACCCACCGUAGGCCUUCGGGCCUAUGUCUUAUCAUAUAAUCCGAAUGUCUAAUAGAAUGUAAACCCAUUUCGUUGCCUUGAAAACGUAACGAAAGAAAACUAUACAACUUUCAACAACGGAUCUCUUGGCUCUCGCAUCGAUGAAGAACGCAGCGAAAUGCGAUAAGUAAUGUGAAUUGCAGAUUUUCAGUGAAUCAUUGAAUCUUUGAACGCACCUUGCGCCCCUUGGUAUUCCGAGGGGCAUGCCUGUUUGAGUGUCAUUAAAAUCCUCAACCCCUCCGAUUUGUUUCGGUGGCGUGCUGGCGAAGGUCGGCUCCUCUUUAAAUGCAUCAGCGGAGAAAAUGCCUUUUGCGCCUCUGGCUGUUCAGCGUGAUAAUGACGUUGCGCUGCGGUCGAGCUUAAGGUCCGCUUCCAAAGGUCCUCUCGGACAAAUAUACAUAUGACUUUUGACCUCAAAUCAGGUAGGACUACCCGCUGAACUUAAGCAUAUCAAUAAGCGGAGGA